Molecule: ribosomal RNA, 459 nt
Filed under: uncultured bacterium
Lineage: Bacteria
Description: partial 16S ribosomal RNA
Rfam family: Bacterial small subunit ribosomal RNA
Source: RNAcentral
CCUACGGGUGGCAGCAGUGAGGAAUAUUGGUCAAUGGUCGGAAGACUGAACCAGCCAAGCCGCGUGCGGGAGGGAGGUACAGGGUAUCGUAAACCUCUUUUGUCAGGGAACAAAGGCGGGGACGUGUCCCCGGGUGAGGGUACCUGGAGAAAGCGCAUCGGCUCACUCCGUGCCCACAGCCGCGUUAAUGGGGAGGAGGCGGGGGUUCUCGGGUUUUUUGGGGUUUAAAGGGUGGGCGGGGGGUCUGUGAAGUCAGGGGUAAAAGCCCGGGCUUAACGGCGGGCCCGCCGUGGAAACUGGCAGUCUCGAGUUGGAGAGAAGUAUGCGGAAUGCGCGGUGUAGCGGUGAAAUGCAUAGAUAUCGGGCAGAACUCCGAUUGCGAAGGCAGCACGCGGGCUCCACACUGACGCUGAGGCACGAAAGCGUGGGUAGCGAACAGGAUUAGAUACCCGUGUAGUC